Molecule: ribosomal RNA, 1643 nt
Filed under: Punctodera mulveyi
Lineage: Eukaryota; Metazoa; Nematoda; Chromadorea; Rhabditida; Heteroderidae
Description: SSU rRNA
Rfam family: Eukaryotic small subunit ribosomal RNA
Source: RNAcentral
CUGCGUACGGCUCAUUACACCAGCUAUAAUUUACUUGACCUUGACUUCUUACUUGGAUAACUGUGGUAAUUCUAGAGCUAAUACAUGCACCAAAGCUCCAAUCUUCCCAGAGCGGAGCGCAUUUGUUCGCCACAAAACCAAGCGCCUUCGGGCGUCCAGUGUUGACUCAGAACAACUAAGCUGAUCGCACGGUCUUGCACCGGCGACGUGUCUUUCAAGUGUCUGCCUUAUCAACUUUCGAUGGUAGUGUACCUGACUACCAUGGUGAUGACGGGUAACGGAGGAUAAGGGUUCGACUCCGGAGAAGGGGCCUGAGAAAUGGCCACUACGUCUAAGGAUGGCAGCAGGCGCGCAAAUUACCCACUCUCAACAUGAGGAGGUAGUGACGAGAAAUAACGAGACCGAUCUCUUAUGAGGCCGGUCAUCGGAAUGGGUACAAUUUAAACCCUUUAACGAGUAUCUAUGAGAGGGCAAGUCUGGUGCCAGCAGCCGCGGUAAUUCCAGCUCUCAAAAUGCAUAGAAUUAUUGCUGCGGUUAAAAAGCUCGUAGUUGGAUCUGUGCUAGCCGUCCGGUCCACCCACUGGGUGCGCACUGGUUCGGUUGGCUUUUCUGCCGGUCUCUCCCCGGCGUUGGCCUUCACUGGUCGGCGUCGGUGGGCUGGCGAGUUUACUUUGAACAAAUCAGAGUGCUUCAAACAGGCGUUUCGCUUGAAUGUUCGUGCAUGGAAUAAUAGAAGAGGAUUUCGGUCCGAUUUUAUUGGUUUUGCUGACCGAGAUAAUGGUUAACAGAGACAAACGGGGCCAUUCGUAUUGCUACGUGAGAGGUGAAAUUCUUGGACCGUAGCAAGACGGACUACAGCGAAAGCAUUUGGCAAGAAUGUCUUCAUUAAUCAAGAACGAAAGUCAGAGGUUCGAAGGCGAUCAGAUACCGCCCUAGUUCUGACCGUAAACGAUGCCAACUAGCGAUCCGCCGGCGGAUUCAUUCGCCCUGGUGGGGAGCUUCCCGGAAACGAAAGUCUUCCGGUUCCGGGGGAAGUAUGGUUGCAAAGCUGAAACUUAAAGGAAUUGACGGAAGGGCACCACCAGGAGUGGAGCCUGCGGCUUAAUUUGACUCAACACGGGGAAACUCACCCGGCCCGGACACCGUAAGGAUUGACAGAUUGAUAGCUUUUUCAUGAUUCGGUGGAUGGUGGUGCAUGGCCGUUCUUAGUUCGUGGAGCGAUUUGUCUGGUUUAUUCCGAUAACGAGCGAGACUCUAGCCUACUAAAUAGUUGGCUCAUUGCUACUGUGGGCACAACUUCUUAGAGGGAUUUUCGGUGUUCAGCCGCACGAAAUUGAGCAAUAACAGGUCUGUGAUGCCCUUAGAUGUCCGGGGCUGCACGCGCGCUACACUGGCAAAAUCAGCGUGCUUGUCCUUCCCCGAAAGGGGUUGGUAAACCGGUGAAAAUUUGCCGUGAUUGGGAUCGGACAUUGCAAUUAUUGUCCGUGAACGAGGAAUUCCUUGUAGGGGCGAGUCAUCAACUCGCUCUGAAUACGUCCCUGCCCUUUGUACACACCGCCCGUCGCUGCCCGGGACUGAGCCAUUUCGAGAAACUCGGGGACGAUUAUGCGUGCCGGCUUCGGUCGGCGCGUUGAUUGAAACCG